AUGAGUUCUCACAGCGAGGUCACUGAAGAAGCAGUCAUCGUCGAUUUCUUUUCUUUCCCCUGGCCUUGGCCCUCUUCUGCCUCGCCUCCUCUUUCUGUCUCUCAGCCUCCUCCCUCUCAAACUUCUCGCUCUCCCUCUUCUGCAAGAAGUCCUGCACCGCCAGAUAGAUCACCUGCAUUUCCAGCAAAAGCAAGAACCAGAAAAGACCUUCGAAAUCAGCUCCGAAAUCCAAAAAUAAUACUGUCCAUCAACGCAAUUCGCUACUAUUCAAGGAGGAGCGAAUUGAUUCGACAGACAACAAAGAACAAAGGCGUCACGCACCCCGAUUGUGAGGAGGGAGAGCCCGACGAACGAGACCGUGAGCAGCACCGACACCACGGUGGCGGUGACGCUGUCGUCGUCGGCAGCCACCCUCAUCAUGGCCUCGGUUUGCUCCACCUCUUCGAUGGCGGCGGCAGGCGGGCGCAGCCUCCUGGCGAGGCGCAAGCGCCCGGUGCCUCCCCCGGCAUUCCUACCACGGCGCGGAGCAGCGACGCACCUCGAGAAGAGCGCUGGCCUGGGUAUCGUGGGUGGCGCGAGAGGGAGGAGGGGGAGAGAGCACGCUGCCGCCAUUAUCCCGUCCCUCGCGCCAGCGGAAGGAAAGGGGAUGCAAAUGAACGGUCGGAACGAACGGGGAAAUGGAUGGGCCAAUCCGGCGCGCAAUGGGCCCGUACCGGGCAGCGUGGAUGGGCCGAGGCCUGCCGCGUCGCCGUGCGCGCGGGCCCGCGCCGGGCGGCCGAGAGAAUUCCAGAGAAAUCGAUCCCCAUCGAGACGAAGGAAACCGAUGAGGACGCCACCGCUGUGUCCGCGCGGCCGGACCUGUCUGCAUUCGCCAGUUUGUUUGUGACACGCACUCGAAGAAGAGAAAGCCAACGAACGAGCGCUCACCGCACCGCACUCGACUAACCGCGACACCGCGACCCGGUGGUGGUUCCGCCUCGCUUCGCCGGCGGCGUCGUGGGAUUGGGAUUCGGGAGCGGGAGAGGUCCGGGAUGGCCGGGGAUCGGAUGAGCUGGGCGAGGCUGCUCAAAUGGAGCCUCUCCUACAUGGACGGCGCGCGGCCUUCUCGCGACAUCAGUGAGGAGGAGCGGAGGUGGCUGGCGGAGGCGGUGGAGCGGCACAUGGCGGAGGACGUGGUGGGCCGCCUGAGGGAGAUCGCGCUGCUGAUGAGAACCCCGCUCUCCGUCCUGGAGGCGCAGGGCAUCACGCCCGAGGACAUCGAAGAUUUGCUCGCGGAGCUGCAAGUACAUGUCGAGUCUAUCGACAUAGCAAAUGGUAUGUCUGAUCAUUGUUAUAUGAGCACUGCUAUGCAGACGACGAAUUCACACACGACCCACACAUGACAUGUAACCUACACCAUUGGAUUGCCUCCUUUUUUAAUCUGUGUGGCUUCGAAAUGAUGUUGUGUGCAAAUCGUGCAUGAAAGAUUGCGUGCACAACAAUUUCAUUGUUAUAUUUUUGUAUUCCUUGCUACUCCUGGAUUACCAUGGUCCAACUAUGGUGUAUGGGUUGUGUUAGCAUGGUAGGCAUAAUCCAUAUCAUUUUGACGUCCUUUCGGGAUACUUAAGCAGUCCGCAGAUAUCUCAGUCAAGCAAUGUCCUUGCACAACAUUUUACUAUUCGAAACCAUUGAAGCCCCAAAUGUCGACUGAAUUUCUGGUUUCUGCAACUCAUCAUUAGAACUCCACUCCUAUGGGUUAGUAAUCGAUGAAAGCACUAAAGUUCUGCAGAUGUAUUGUUAUUAUUAUUAUUGCAUUUCUGUGACGUGGACUCGGAUUUAUUACCUUGAGUUAAACCUACAGUUCCAUCUGUAGGAAACAAAGGUAGCACUUGGAAGACAUACUUUACUGGUGUCAAACUGAAAACAUUCACGCUACUGGAUGAUUCAAAGGCAUAUGUAGUUUCUCUUGAGGUGGCUAACAAAUGGAUGGAGACAACUGUAGUGGUUUUUGCCAAUAAAACACUGCUCUUCAGAUCUGCAUUCUGUUGGUGGCUUGGUUCCAGUUAUUAGGUACCUCAGAAAUACUAAUGCACGCAUUCGAGCCAAAGUAGCUGAUGUGGUAACAACGGUUGUUCAAAACAAUCCGACUAGCCAGCAGCUGGUCAUGGAAGCUAGUGGUUUUGAGCCACUUGUAUCCAAUUUUACAUCAGAUCCUGAUCUCACUGCACGCAUAAAGGCUCUUGGUGCACUAUCCUCCUUGAUUCGGAACAACAAACCAGGAGUUGCUGCAUUUCGUCUAGCCAAUGGAUACGCAGGACUGAGAGACGCUUUAAAUUCAGAGAGCGCAAGGUUUCAGAGGAAAGCACUAAGCCUGACUCAUUAUCUACUCAGUGAAAGCCAUUCCGAUUGCUCGGUAUUUGCACAGCUUGGGUUUCCUCGUCUUAUGAUGCGUUUGGUAUCCAGUGAUGACUCUGGUGUUCGAGAAGCGGCAUUAGGAGGCCUGCUUGAGCUUGCAAAGGACACAACACUGGGAAAUAGGAGCUUACUAGCAGACCAGGACAGGCUACGACGGCUUCUCUGGGGGCGUAUACAGAGCAUAAGGAUGAUGGCUCCUGAAGAUCUUGAUGCUGCACGAGAGGAAAGGCAACUCGUUGACUCAUUGUGGAUUGCAUGUUACCAUGAGCCAUCCACACUCAACCGGGAAGGACUUGUCGUUCUGCCUGGAGAGGAAUCUUUUGAACAACCUCCUGAUGUGGCUGGUAGAUUCUUCGAGCCACUGCGCCGAGCUCCAUUGCAGAGGGCAGCUCCUAGUCCUGAUGAGAGAUCAGAUCCAGGAAAUGGAACUCUGGGAGGAAUUAUGCUGCUUCUAGGUCCAGCACCAGGUAACUCGGAGUAAUUUAUCAUCCUGAACUGGGCACCUACGCGUGAAGAGGAGAGACUAGGAGUUUGAUGUCCUUUAUGUAUAGCUAGAAAUAUCAGGGCUAGUUCUAUCAAGUGUGUAAUUCGAGUCAAUAAUCCGAGUCUGAAGUGGUAUGUUGUUGUUGAGUGUUGUGUAUAAUUUGCAGUCUGCAAUAAUGUCACCCUAUGCUCGAGUAUGUGUAUGUAAUUGUAAUGUGUUGUCUAAAUAUUGACAGUCGUAUGUUCUAUAUGAACCAUAAUUACCAAUAAAU
Molecule: ribosomal RNA, 3149 nt
Filed under: Triticum aestivum (bread wheat)
Lineage: Eukaryota; Viridiplantae; Streptophyta; Magnoliopsida; Poales; Poaceae
Description: partial small subunit ribosomal RNA
Source: RNAcentral